GGAGGCUACCUAAACCCAAACAUUGCAGCGACAAUCAAAGUUGGACCCCCUCCAUCUAGAAGACAUGGAAAAUUCCCAAGAGGCCAAGCCACCAAGCCAAUGGAAUUUUCAGAGAGUGGUAGCAUCUUUUGUGCUCUCAUCAUAGGGUGGGACGUACCUGGAAUUCUCCAGUUUCUGCUAUUCCUUCUUUAAACACCCCAGAGAAAUAAAGGUUCUCUCUUACACAGAUGGGGAGAUGUCCAAAUGCCUUCAGAAGUAAUUCUUCUCUGGUAGGGACAUGGGACAGGACCAGUUUAUUUAAUGUAGAAAUAGAAAAGAACCUAAAGAAGAAAUGGGGUUGGCAGGAUUUUUGCAGAAGGGACACUUAAGUAAAGAAGUAGUCUAAGUGCACAAAGAAUAAGCCCAUGAUGAGCAACAAUGGUUCCCAGGAAGAACUGUUUGGGGAGAAAACCUGAAAACCAAACUGAGAAGUAUUUGCAGCUGAGACCCACUGGAGUGAAUGAAGCAUAAUGAACAGUCCUAAAGAAAGCCCAGGAUUCUCACACCUGGCUCCCUGCUUCACUAGUGCUGUUGUCACUAAUGCAAUUCUCCCACCCCCACGGCCACCCCCUUCUAAACAAUAUCAAAUUCAAAACAAACAUUACAGUUAAAAUAUGCUUCAGGCUAA
Molecule: long non-coding RNA, 667 nt
Organism: Antechinus flavipes (yellow-footed antechinus)
Lineage: Eukaryota; Metazoa; Chordata; Mammalia; Dasyuromorphia; Dasyuridae
Exons: 2
Source: RefSeq, a predicted model, not a curated record